Molecule: RNA transcript, 7376 nt
Organism: Stegostoma tigrinum
Lineage: Eukaryota; Metazoa; Chordata; Chondrichthyes; Orectolobiformes; Stegostomatidae
Gene: mbd6
Gene name: methyl-CpG binding domain protein 6
Exons: 11
Source: RefSeq, a predicted model, not a curated record
UUUUCAGCUGCAGGUUUUUUUUCCUCUCGUUCUCUCUUGCCCCGCUCCCUCUGUUUCUCUCUCCGUGGCUUUAUCUCUCUCCCACCUUCUGUGUUUCCGAGUAAAGCCUCCAUAAAGUCUCCAGAAAUAAAGCGGCCGAUUCUCCUUUUUGUUAUUAUGAGUCUACAUUCCCAACCGGAUACAUCCCGAGCGUCUGAAAAACUUCCUGGAUACCUCCCUUAACAACCAGCCGACCUCCCGGGCCUGGCCAGCAGCCUUUUAAGUGCCAUUUCAGCCCUUUAUUACCCUUUGUUUUUGAGUUUUUCUGAAGCGAAAGCUUUGGAGAGGAGAGAGUUAAAGGACGUUUUAUAAAGGCUGGCUCAUCCAAAACUAUGGAAGCAGUGAGGAGCAAUAUCAAGAGGCUGCUUUGUUAAAUGUGAGAACCAUCUGUAUUUUGACUUGCCUGGGAAAUAUACAUUAAAGAGAAGGAUGUGGUCAACUAUGGCUUCAAUUGUAGAAAGAUUACCCUGACCCUAAGAAGUCAAGACUUGUCUGCGGGAAUCAGUAAAGCUGAAUUAAACUGCUGAAUGUCAGAACAUAUAUUAUCCUCCUUAACCCUCAGAACUGAAUAAAGGCAUUUCUGAAUCAUGUGCAUUCUGGUUAGAAGGCAGCCAGUUCUCCCCAUGUAGCAUUACUCUACAGCUCAAAACGCUCUGAAUCAUCACACAAACACUAAAUGAAUGUGGAUUAUUAUGAAGCAGUGACUUUAAAUAAAAUGGCUUUUGCAGAGAUGAUUCCUCAUUGAGCUGGAGCAUCUCCCUGAACACUUUGUACAGUGGACAAGCACUGUACCAUAUGGUCACAUUUCAGAGGCCAUAAUGACAUGAAAUCUGGAGGUAUCAUCUGACUAUUGAUAUCUUUGAGGUGUCACAAGCAGAAACGUAAAAAUGAAUGGAGGAAAUGAGAAUGAUGGUGAAAAAGAUGGCAUGGGACCUGCAGUUCAAGUUCCCAUAGGAUGGCAGCGACAGGUGGAUCAGAACGGAGUGCUGUACAUGAGCCCAAGUGGCUCAGUGUUGGCCUGCAUCGAGCAAGUCAAAACAUAUCUUCUCACCGAUGGAACGUGCAAGUGUGGCUUGGAGUGUCCUCUCAUUCUUUCAAAGGUGUUUACUUUUGAUCCUGGAGCGACUGUAAAGCAAAGAACAGCGGAAGAUGUCAAAGCUGAUGAAGAUUUGACAAAACUUUGCAUUCAUAAACGGAAGAUAAUUGCAGUAGCUACACUACAUAAAAGUAUUGAGACACCACAUCCUUCCCUGCUUCUAACCAGUCCAGGGGGUGGAACAAGUGGAACGCCUACGGUGCAGUCACGGGCCACAACUCCGAGAGCAAUGAGGAAUAAAUCACAAGAAGCAAUGGUAAAUUCUACGGUGCCAGACUACAAGAAUACGUUUCUGCCUAAAUUGAUGGCGGGAGGUUCAAAUGCUGUGACACGGCUGUAUCAACAGGAAUUAUGUGGAAGUCCCCAGCAGGAGCUUCAUGGUUAUUCCAGGCAGAGACUGGGUAGCAGUGAUCAAGGGCAGAAGUCUCCAUACCGUGGAAGCCAUGGUGGUCUUUCCAGCCCAGCAUCAUCAGGAUCACAAAUCUAUGGUGAUGGUUCUAUAUCUCCUCGAACUGAUACAGUGGGAAGUCCUGAUGUGUUUACGCGAAAUACUCCAGGAUUUCAUGCUGGGUCCAACUCCAGUCCUAUUCACAUCAAUAAAAUGCCCCAUUCCCCACCAACUGUUCUGAUGCAAAAUUCUUCAUCCCAUUCAUCCUGUGUUAUGGCUGGUAGGACUUCUAUACCUCUUUCACCAACAAUGACUACAAAAAGUCCUGUCAUGAAAAAACCCACUUGUAAUUAUUCAUCAAAUGUUGAUAUGCCAAGAAUUAUGUUUCAUAAACCUCCCCAAGGAGCCCCAACAUCAUGUGCUCUCCAGAAAAAGCCAUUACCCUCCGAAAAGGAUCCAUUAGGCAUCCUUGACCCCAUACCAAGUAAACCUAAUCCAGUACUUAUGAACACAUCUAAUUUCCCGACAACCAUGCACUCUCAGGUACCUAUGAUGAAUGUAAACAUGCCUCCUGCUGUUGUCCCUUUGCCAAGCAACCUACCAUUGCCAACAGUCAAACCUGGCCCUGUAAACCAUGGAACCCAUGUACCACGGGUCCAACAUUCAACUUCCACUUCUGUAUCUCCUGCACCUGUCACCUCACCUGUGCACAUGAUGGGACCUGUAAUGGGAAGAAUUGAGGUAUCACCACAGAGGUCAAGGUCAUCUUCAACGUCUUCUGAUCAUGGAAGUUUAAUGAUGCCACCUUCAGGUCCUCAGUCAAGCUGCAGUGGAAUGAAGGUUCCUCCAAGGUCUCCAAGGUCAUCUAUGGGUUCUCCACGACCAUCCAUGCCAUCCAGUCCAUCCACCAAGCCUGAAGGGCUUCUUCAUCAAUAUAAAGAUAUUCCUAAUCCGUUGUUGGUUGGAAUGAACAAUGUUCUGAAUCCUCAAAGUAAUGCUUUGUUUCCAUCUGUGUCUGUUGGAAAUGUACCACAGCAAAAGGGUCAGCCAGGUUUGCUUGGAAUGCCCUUAAAUCAAAUUUUGAAUCAGCAUAAUGCUGCCUCAUUUCCAGCAAGCAGUUUACUUUCAGCAGCAGCCAAAGCACAGCUAGCUAAUCAAAACAAACUGUCUGGUAGUAACAGUAGUGGUGGAGUUGGCAGUGGUGGCAAUAGUGAAGGACAUAGCACUUUAAAUACCAUGUUUCCUCCAACUGCCAACAUGCUUCUUUCCGUUAAUGAAGUUCAGAGUGGACGUGCGGCUUUGAGAGACAAGCUCAUGGCACAGCAAAAGGAUCCUUUAAGGAAGCGGAAACAAGCAACCCCUACAGUAUUGAGUAUGCUAAAACAGUCUCAGAUGGGCAGCUCAGGAGUCCCAAAGUCUGUGAUUGACUCUCUGAGGAAACAAGGACAAAAUUCAUCUGUAACUAUGAAUAAUACCAUGUCUCAAUUACUUCAAUCUAUGAGCUCACAAAGUUCUCAAAUAAGCGGCAAUAGCAGCACUAGUUGUGGUAGUUCCACUACAGGUAUUUCUGGUUCCUCCAAUCAACAUAGCUUCUCAAAUACCAGUCUGAACUCAGGUUCCAUUCAUAACCUAUCAGCUCAGAAUUUAACAAGAGGGGAUGGUAUUUCUUGCCAAAAUACAAGUACUAAUUUAAUCCACAGUUGUCAGGCCCCAAGCAAUCAAUUUGUUGGGUUAGUUGGACAGCUCCAUGGUGGUGGAAAUUGUGGGCUGCUUCAUCAGUCUGCAGUGACUUUGGGAAAUAAUUUGCAUUCUAACCAUCAUUCAAGAAUUACAGCCUCUUCAGCAACAAUGGUACCAAACAGCAGUGGCAUUUGUAGCCAAACCAGUGCUGACGCAGGAGGGCAGGAUGGUCCAUCCCAUGGGCAUCUCCACAGACGGCAACGUUGUUCUUUGGUCAACCUGUCAGGAGGUAGUUCUGGCCAGCCAGCAUCCAUGGCCAUUGCUGGCACCAACCAACUUGCCAUUACCAAGACAACAUCCGUUCUGCAAGAUGGAGUUAUAGUUACAACAGCAGCUGGAAAUGCAUUACAUAGUCAGAUUCCCGUGGGGAGCACUCUUCCCUUCAUUGGCCAGGACCAAGCUUUUCAAUUUGGACAGACUGUCCCUACAAGUAGCAAUCUAACCCACCCUUUGAACCCAAAUCUCCUUGGAUCUCUGUCCAUCCCCUUAGCAAUGAGCCAACAACAGCUCCUGAACCAAAAUAUGCUGAACAUGUUACCUACAUCUGGAGAUGGCAAAGGAGAAGUCUCUGUUAACCCUUUGGGAAUUCUGAACCCAACUUUAAAUUCAGCUUUGACUUUGCUCCCUGGUGAUAUGGCUGGACAGACUCUGCAACCUGUUCAACUUUUAGCCACCUUGUUUCAAAACCAGGCACAAGCUACAAUGCUCCCACUGACAUCUUUUAAUUUAACUCUCCCAGAUUUAUUACAGCAGCAAAACCACCCUUCACCUUCAGUGACACAGAUCCAGCCACUGCCAGAUCAUUUGCAUAGCAAUCAAUUAGUUAGUAACAGAACAGAAACCCUUUUGACAAACCCUCUAACAAGCCCCACAAACAAUGACACUACUUCAAAUCCUCUCCUCCUUCCAGCUGUCACAGCAGCUCCAGGACUGAUGGCCCUGAAUCCCCAUCUGUUGAGAAGUGUUUUGCACUCUCCUUCAGACCAUGCUGCUAACCACUCUGAGGUUUCUAUAGCAACCUCAUCCCAGGCAACUACCACAACCACCACAUCAUCAUCAGUUGCAGCACUUGCCAUCUCAACUCUUGGUGGGACAGCAGUUAUGUCAAUGGCAGAAUCGCUGCUGCCCAUCUCAGCUGCUGGGCAUUCAACAGGACCUACAAAACUGAACAACUCUUUGCUACCACACCUCCCUUUGCUGGGAGCCAGCCUUCUUGGUGAUGUACCUUCAUUCAGCAACAGUUUGAACAAUCCACAGUUAAGUCGUCUCCAGACCUUAAUCAAUAGCAAUCAGAUGUUUCCUCAGAAUCAUCAACUUUUACAAGGUCUGCAAGGGACUCGGGGCCUUCAGGGGUUUCAAGGUCCUCCUUCAUUUUCUGGACCCAGUAACACUCAAAACCCUAUGGCAUGCGUUUUCCAAAACUUUCAGGUGACUCCAGUCCAAGAUGUGUCUCUUUCAAAUGCUCCAGUAAACUCCCAUCCAGGAGCAAUAUUGCUGUCUGAGGGAUCCCAAACUGCCCUUCCCCCUUUCCAUGAUCUGUCUGGUGACCAGCAUCAAGUAGAACAGGUUCAAGGUCAGCAUGGCAGAGAAGAAGCCCCCACUGUGGGUCCCCAUGACCCUUCUGUUGAUGCUAUAUAUAAAGCUGUGGUAGAUGCUGCAAGCAAAGGAAUGCAGGUUGUGAUCACGACAGCGAUGAGUAGUACUUCUCAAAUGAGCCCAAUCCCAGCUCUGAGUGCCAUGAGUGCCUUUACUGCCUCCAUUGCAAAUCCUGUGAAUCUUUCCAAUGCAGUCAAUGCAGUGAUUCAUGGGAAAAGACUUUCCAGCAUGGAGAUUGACAGCCGGCUCCAUAGUCAAAACAUCCUUGCAAGUAGACAUGCCAGAGGUGUGAAGUUGAGGAAAAGUACUGAACAAGCAAAAAUUACUCCUGAAGGGGAAGGAUUUGAGUACUUCAAAUCACCAGGUCGCAACACACCUAAAAAACAAUGGGAAACUGAGCAACUUGCAGCUGGCGAUGCAACAGUGUGGAAAUGUGAGAAAUUUCUAGAACACUCGGGGCAGGUAAAUCAUAGUCCUUCUGUGGACAGGAUACCCUCUUUUCAUGGAGAGCAGACUGAUGGAAUAUUACAGCAGAAAAACUGCCAGUUGGACAAAAGAUUUCUUGAGGAUGGUUUUAAGUUUAAUAGUCAAAAAAGACACAUUGUAAACAUUAAAGAAAGACUAGAGAAUACUUUGGAAAGAUGCACACACAUCAAUGGAAACCGGUCUCAACAGAACAGGAACUUUGGUGAGUUGCUGACGACCCCCAAACAGGAGCUUGCCAUAGAGGAGCAAUCUCCAAGCUCCUCGACUAGUUUGGAAGGAAUGCCAGGUUCUUUGGCACAUGAAUAUAUUCAAUACAAUGGAGAUUAUAGUUCAGAAAACAUUAAUGGAUGUGCCCCAAGUCCGUCAGACACUAAAAGUAUCAGCAGCGAUGAUGAUUUGAAGAUUCCAGAUUCUCCAUCUAAUGAAUUAAUACACUAUAGACCAAGGACGUUUAAUGUUGGUGACUUGGUCUGGAGUCAAAUAAAAGGAUUUCCUUCAUGGCCAGGAAAGUUGGUGAGAGAAGAUGAAGUCCACAAUUCCUGUCAGCAAAACUCUGAAGAGGGAAAGGUUGUGAGCCUGACCUGAAUCGAGCUGCCUACCUUGAGAAAAAAAGACCCUGCUCCUGAGACGCUUUCCUGUAGCUGAACUGAAAUGAACGCUUUUAAGAAGUAUAUUUAAGAGAUUCAGUGUGCAGACAGAGAUUAAGUGCAUUAUGACUCUGACAACGAUUACCAUUGAUUUGUGAAGCACAAUCCGCUGUUCCUUCUGGGCUAAACGAUGAAAGAUUAGCACUUGGAUUUUCACUAUGUGAAAGCAGUAUUGUCAUAAUGGGAGUGUUAUUCCAUUCAGUUACAUGAUUCACCAGACAACUCAGAAGGACAGACAAGCCAAGUCACCAAAAGCCAAGAGACGAAAAAUCUCUAGAUAACGUUCAAUGUCUUCAUCACUGAUAUAGUUAUAGGGUUGAACUGUGUGUAUAUAGAGUCUUAUGCUACAAGGUGCUAUGGAACUGUGGUACAGUGUUUCUUCAAUAAUGAGCAAAAAUUAUAUGCUGGAUAGCUCAUCAGAAACCUUGUGAGAUCAUGGUUACAGUUUAUCUACUGCUUAUCUAUGAAGUGACAUUUUCUACAGUACUAUAAGAUCAAGAAUAUCAAAAACUGAACAGUCCAAAUGUUUCUGAAUUUUCAUUGUAUAUAGAUAUGCAAAAUUUCAUGGUAAUAUCAAAUUGUAAAUACUGUAUAAAGUUGUCAUGUACAAGCAUACUUAAUGCACAGUUUAUCUUGUACAAAAUAGUGUACAAAAUUCUUUGGUUUCUAUUUACACAUACAAGAGACUACCAGUGUAAAGAGGAUAAAUAAAAAUGCCGCUUAAAGCUUUUAUAUGCAAGAUGCUGUUUUUGUAUUUAACAGCAGAUGAGGCAUGGUUAUGUGAUAACUUAAUUAUGGCAGACACUUCACACCAUCAAUGUUCACUUCUUUCUGUUUGAACUCUGUCUUUUGUGCAAUGGCAUGGAGGUCUGUACGGUCCCACAUGCAAACUCCAUGUAAAAUGAUGAUUUUUCUUUUUCCCUUCACUUUUUUCCCCCCAUUCUAAAUUGAUGUGUUCUGUUUUGAUGGUAUUGGUGUCUGUGUUUUCUUAUCAGUCAGCUUUUCUGCUAUUUUAUGUCAAAAAAUGUUUUAUUCAUCAAAGGUGUGUGCUUUUAUAUUUAAUUUUGCCUUUCUUUGCUUUACUCCUAAACUGUCUUGUAAUGACCAACUUUGCUCUUUGUUUUGACAUUUAUCUAAUUGUUUUGUAUUUUCUCACAUGUAUACUUUACAUUAGUAGAAUAUGUAAAGUAUUUUGUGCACUUGAUUUUAAUUGGUUGAUGGCAUUUAUGUGGGUGAUAGGAGUAGUUUGUUCCAGUCCAAGCAAAUUCUCUUUAGGGUUUUAUGGUUUCAUGUAAAGAACACUAAUUGUAAAUAUUGUGAGCAUUACAGGUCGUGCAGUGUUGUAACAUUUUUAAUAAUGUUGCACCUACUUUACAAUUAAAAA